RNAcentral lists this ribosomal RNA (459 nucleotides) under uncultured bacterium. RNAcentral describes it as "partial 16S ribosomal RNA". It matches the Rfam family "Bacterial small subunit ribosomal RNA", at positions 338 to 795 of the family's 1533-position model. The record is from RNAcentral.
CCUACGGGAGGCAGCAGUGAGGAAUAUUGGUCAAUGGGCGCGAGCCUGAACCAGCCAAGUAGCGUGAAGGAUGACUGCCCUACGGGUUGUAAACUUCUUUUGUCGGGGAACAAAGGCGGAGACGCGUCUCCGGAUGAGUGUACCCGAAGAAAAAGCAUCGGCUAACUCCGUGCCAGCAGCCGCGGUAAUACGGAGGGUGCGAGCGUUAUCCGGAUUUAUUGGGUUUAAAGGGUGCGCAGGCGGGAGAUCAAGUCAGCGGUAAAAUGUCGGGGCUCAACCCCGGCCGGCCGUUGAAACUGGUUUUCUAGAGUUGGAGAGAAGUAUGCGGAAUUCGUGGUGUAGCGGUGAAAUGCAUAGAUAUCACGAAGAACUCCGAUUGCGAAGGCAGCAUACCGGCUCCAUACUGACGCUGAGGCACGAAAGCGUGGGGAUCGAACAGGAUUAGAUACCCUAGUAGUC